Molecule: ribosomal RNA, 1559 nt
Filed under: Triticum aestivum (bread wheat)
Lineage: Eukaryota; Viridiplantae; Streptophyta; Magnoliopsida; Poales; Poaceae
Description: partial small subunit ribosomal RNA
Source: RNAcentral
GGGAGCUUGCUGCUCGUCUUUAAUUCCAUGAAGUCCGAAAUUACUUCCAUGCUCGCCACCACGCUCGCCCCCGGUGUUUGCUCCUGAUCAUCCUCUACCGCUGCUUCCCAUGCUAACUCUGGGCCACCAAAGCUUCUUGCUACCUGAAACUAUUUCAUGCUCGCCACCAAACUCGCACUGGCGUUUGCUCCUGACCAUCCUCUGUUGCUUGCUAUAUGGGCCGCCAAAGCUUCUCGCUGCCUGUGCUCGCUGACUGAUUAGAUUCUUGCUGCCCAUGCUCUCCCUGUUGGAGCCGAUACUACUUCAUCUGGCUGCAUUGGGAACCGGACACUAUAUGAAGCAAAUUCUCCAAGCUUGGGGAGCAAAUUUUGGCCAGCAAUGUCGAAUCGAAUGCUGAUGGCAGAAACAAGGAGUUGGGAAAAAUAUAUGUUUUUGUUUGCAGGUUUGCUAUUUUAAGUCGAGCGGCAAAUUAUUUCAGUUCAGUUGAUUCACACUAUCAAGUUCAUCCAUUGAUGUACUUACAUCUCCACAGAUCUGCAACAACAAUAAUUGAAGUAUAAUAAAACUGUCUUGAUGACUCAUUUAUAAAGAUAUCAUUAUUCAUCACAUCUUUCCACACAAACGUCAGAGCCUGAAAAGUAAUUACCAAUCUUCAUAUUGAAGUAGUCUUUGCUUAUUAAGCACCAAACUAUUUUUGACACAUUUACCACAGUUUAAGUUGCUGCACAUGGCCCUGAUAGCAGACCCAGUUUUUAAUGUGGGUAUCACCAAUAUAUACCAUUCACACCCCGUUAUGAAAUGCAGCGUCCAGGUAAUUAGUGUUGUAAGGCUACCUUUAGGAGAGAUAUUUUUGGUUGUACUGCUAAAACUAAGCGGCGUGCCAUCCAGGUAGAAAAAAUAUACCUGAUGCACACUUGUGGGAAUUAAUUCAUAAAACCUUCAAUCAAGAUGAGUAUCUAUUGAAUCCCACAGCGAAGCAAAGCGUGGGCAUGUGACUAGUUUGUUCCAUUUUGCUUGUGAAGUAGUAUUGAAUCCAACCUGAGCUGAAAGUUCUUCUGUAUCAUCUGAUUAUUACCUGUCUUGCUUGCGGAGAGUCGAUCGAUGGAUUAAGAAGCCUCAUCCUUGGAACUCCAAGAUGAAGAAGGUGGCACUGAAAUGUAACAGUUGUGAUGAGCAUUUGCAAGAUUAGGGUGGCGCAUGCCUGAGAUUAAGAAGCUAUUUUGCUGAGACAGUGAGAUGGCCCCUAAUUAUUUUCUUCUUCUUCUUGAGAUGAUGGCUCCUAAUUAGCAGCUAGCUACAGAUAUGCGCAAAGGAGACAGGGAAAGAAAGGUACAUGUUGAUGAAGAUGCUGCUGAAAUUUGACAGUUGUGAUGAGCAUUUGCUACAUAUUAAGAAUCUUUGUCGCUGUGACGGCAUGUUUGUUGAUGGACGGAUGGAUACCAUUUCUAUAUAUCGUGUGUGACAUUCCCAUGUCAUUAUGAAUCCAUUAUGGUACUUUUAUUGUACUGAAAUUAUAGUCUCUUGAGGUGUGGUUGAUCCAAAUACAUGAGUGAAAAAUC